UCACACCAGCGAUGCAAACCUGGCUUUAGCAGAAAGCAGCAGACAAGUGCAUGACCUCAAGGUCGUCCUGACCGUGGACUUCCUGUUUUAUGACGAGCAUCUCCUCGAUUCCAACUGCAAUGAUAAAUCAUGGAGUUUGAUCCAGAAUCGUCUUGGACGUUCCAACCAACUGAUUGGCUUUCAAAACUUCGGAGAAUGGUUGAAUAAUUAUGUGACAACAACAAAGCUGAAGAUUUUGGGUGUAAUUCUCUUUAUUGAGAUCGUUGUGCUGGUGAUUAUUGUAUUGGUUCGUAAAAACAACCAGGUGGAGUGUUGAUCUCCAGAAAAACCGUAAAGUCAAUAUUAUUCAGAUACAGACGUUUGGAUAUUUAUUCACAUUUGUUCUAUAUAAAGGCAUAAUUAUAAACACAGAGUAAGAGGUAAUUAGUAUGUUUAUUGUAAAAUGUUUUGGGGCAACUGUGAGCAUGUUUUAAAUACCUUUUUUAUUUCUUAAAUGGGAUUAUUGUCUUUGUUCUCUAAAAAAGUUUCAGAUGAUAAACGAUUUAAUUUACCAAGAAGAAGCCUGAAAGCUGUCUCUCUGCUGCUUAGGUGAAGCUUCAAUAAAGAGUUUUAUUGUAAAUAAAUGUUGCAUUGUUAUACA
Molecule: non-coding RNA, 640 nt
Organism: Poecilia reticulata (guppy)
Lineage: Eukaryota; Metazoa; Chordata; Actinopteri; Cyprinodontiformes; Poeciliidae
Source: RefSeq, a predicted model, not a curated record